UGGGGAAUAUUGGGCAAUGGAGGCAACUCUGACCCAGCAACGCCGCGUGAAUGAAGAAGGCCUUCGGGUUGUAAAGUUCUUUAAUUGGGGACGAAGAAAGUGACGGUACCCAAAGAAUAAGCCACGGCUAACUACGUGCCAGCAGCCGCGGUAAUACGUAGGUGGCAAGCGUUGUCCGGAAUGACUGGGCGUAAAGGGAGCGUAGGCGGCGCAACAAGUUAGGAGUGAAAUCCCAAGGCUUAACCAUGGAACUGCUUUUAAAACUGUUGUGCUUGAGUGAUGGAGAGGAAAGCGGAAUUCCUAGUGUAGCGGUGGAAUGCGUAGAUAUUAGGAGGAACACCAGAGGCGAAGGCGGCUUUCUGGACAUUAACUGACGCUGAGGCUCGAAAGCGUGGGGAGC
RNAcentral lists this ribosomal RNA (400 nucleotides) under uncultured bacterium. Its description in RNAcentral is "bacterial SSU rRNA". It matches the Rfam family "Bacterial small subunit ribosomal RNA", at positions 355 to 769 of the family's 1533-position model. The record is from RNAcentral.